RNAcentral lists this long non-coding RNA (1406 nucleotides) under Gadus morhua (Atlantic cod). RNAcentral's name for it is "lncRNA (ENSGMOG00000025513.1)". The record is from RNAcentral. Lineage: Eukaryota; Metazoa; Chordata; Actinopteri; Gadiformes; Gadidae.
AUGUACCUGUUUGUCCCGGUCCUCAGAGAUCCAGAAGGACGAGUCGGGCCUGGGAGCCGGGUUCAACUCCUGCUGCAGCUGGUGGAAGUGGCUGCUGGGACUCCUGUUGGGCCUGCUGCUGCUGUUGGGCCUGCUGUUCGGACUCAUCGCCCUGGCGGAGAAGUUCAAGCGUCUGGAGGACCGCGUGGAGACUCUGGAGAAGGUCGUGGGCGGCGGGACGGCCAGCACCAGCCGCCUCUCCUCCGUCAACAUCAUCGACCCCUUGGAGUCGUCCUACGUGCAGAAGAAGGCCUUCGCCGGCACCGCCCAGUCGCGCUCCGGCAACGGGAUCGACCUGGGGGCCUCGGGGCCCGGGGCCGGCGGCGGCGGCGGCCUGGGGGUCGGUGGGGCCCUGGGGGCCGCUGGAGGGGGCCCCGCGUCCGGAGCCGUUGACAGCGCCGCCCUGCAGAGAGCCGUGGAGCAGCUGGUCCGGGCGGAGCUCCGCUCGGACACCCUGAGAGGUAGAGGGAGGGGGGGGAGGAGGUGGUGGUGGAGGAGGUGUUGGUGGAGGUGGCGGAGGUUGUGGUGGAGGUGGUGGAGUUGGUGGAGGUGGUGGAGUUGGUGGAGGUGGUGGAGGAGGUGGAGGAAGACCUGAUGAUGAUGAUGGUGAUGAAGAGGUUGCUUUAUGACAGUGGAGUUAAUCGUAGGGAAUGUGUUUUAUUUUCCCAGAAUCCCUGACGUACUCGAUGAAAGGAGCCAGAGGCGAUCCCGGAACUAAAGGUAUUUCAAACAUGAUUCCAAAACAAGAAUUCAAUUGAAUUCCUGUUUUGAAUUCAACUGAAUUCAACAUGAAUUCGAACAUAAUGCAUUCUCUCUCUUUUCGUGGAAAGAAAAACGGCCAAAUGUCUGUGAUGUGAGCUUCUCAUUGUUAUGGAUUUUUCACAGGCGAUCAUGGGUUGCAAGGAGGGAAAGGUCAGUGAGUCCACUGGUUUCCUGCUAAAUUUAUUCAUUAUAAUGUAAAAGACAUCCCAUCUUAAGCUAAUAACCUAAUGAUGGUUUUUGGUGAUUUUUCAGGUGACACUGGCUUUGCCGGCAUACCAGGUCAGUGUGUGAAAAUCAUAGAAUCACAAGUUAUAAUAUAAGCAAGAUAAGCAAGAAGGUUUGAAUAUUUAAGAGUAUACUACUCCCUACUGACAACGUGGUGUUGGUCUGGCCUCGCUGUAGGCCCUCCUGGUCAAAUGGGCCAUCCUGGACUGGAGGGACCACGUGGAUCCAAAGGAAGCGCUGGUAAUUAUCGUGCUUCAAACUGCAUUGGCGCAUUUGGACCCUAUAAGCUCGUUAAUAAUUCUGUUGAUACAGUAUGUCUAGACAAAUGUCAUUCUUUGUGCUUAACGAAACAAUUAUAUUUUCAUUAAUAUCAAAGGGAG